RNAcentral lists this ribosomal RNA (229 nucleotides) under uncultured bacterium. RNAcentral describes it as "partial 16S ribosomal RNA". It matches the Rfam family "Bacterial small subunit ribosomal RNA", at positions 111 to 334 of the family's 1533-position model. The record is from RNAcentral.
UAACACGUAAAGAACCUGCCUCAUAGACUGGGACAACUAUUGGAAACGAUAGCUAAUACCGGAUAACAGCAUUAACUGCAUGGUUGAUGUUUAAAAGUUGGUUUUGCUAACACUAUGAGAUGGCUUUACGGUGCAUUAGCUAGUUGGUGGGGUAAGGGCCUACCAAGGCGACGAUGCAUAGCCGACCUGAGAGGGUGAUCGGCCACACUGGGACUGAGACACGGCCCAG